RNAcentral lists this transfer RNA (77 nucleotides) under Corynebacterium glutamicum. RNAcentral describes it as "tRNA-Pro". It matches the Rfam family "tRNA". Rfam says of the family: Transfer RNA (tRNA) molecules are approximately 80 nucleotides in length. Their secondary structure includes four short double-helical elements and three loops (D, anti-codon, and T loops). Lineage: Bacteria; Bacillati; Actinomycetota; Actinomycetes; Mycobacteriales; Corynebacteriaceae. The record is from RNAcentral. RNAcentral also lists the same sequence under 16 other names.
CGGACUAUGGCGCAGUUUGGUAGCGCACUACACUGGGGGUGUAGGGGUCGCAGGUUCAAAUCCUGUUAGUCCGACAA